This 74-nucleotide transfer RNA is filed under the name bacterium TMED190. RNAcentral's name for it is "tRNA-Arg". It matches the Rfam family "tRNA". Rfam says of the family: Transfer RNA (tRNA) molecules are approximately 80 nucleotides in length. Their secondary structure includes four short double-helical elements and three loops (D, anti-codon, and T loops). Further hydrogen bonds mediate the characteristic L-shaped molecular structure. tRNAs have two regions of fundamental functional importance: the anti-codon, which is responsible for specific mRNA codon recognition, and the 3' end, to which the tRNAs corresponding amino acid is attached (by aminoacyl-tRNA synthetases). tRNAs cope with the degeneracy of the genetic code in two manners: having more than one tRNA (with a specific anti-codon) for a particular amino acid; and 'wobble' base-pairing, i.e. permitting non-standard base-pairing at the 3rd anti-codon position. The record is from RNAcentral. RNAcentral also lists the same sequence under 1 other name.
GCGCCUGUAGCUCAGCUGGAUAGAGCGCUAGCCUCCGGAGCUAGAGGUCACAAGUUCAAAUCUUGUCAGGCGCA